This 209-nucleotide small RNA is filed under the name Caenorhabditis elegans. RNAcentral describes it as "Unclassified non-coding RNA Y51A2D.42". The record is from RNAcentral. Lineage: Eukaryota; Metazoa; Nematoda; Chromadorea; Rhabditida; Rhabditidae.
GGCCAACAAGCUCUCCGAAGUGAUAACAAUUUAUCGAUUGGUCACCAAACUGAUAGAAGGCGUUUGCCAAUCGAACAGCACCGGCCGCACCGCCGCCGAUCAAAAUGUGAAAAAUUCGCGAAAAAUGGUGAUCACACUGUCUCAGAUGUACAAAUUGAUGGCACAAUUCGCGAUUUUGCUGAAAAAUGCGCUUUUGUUGGUUGGAAGAG